UAUGCUGUAAAAUUCUUCUGAAUUCCCAAAUAUUUCAACGAUCGCAACUAUAUUUUGUGAGCAUCCCAUCUUGUUUUCAUGGAACGUGGCGGAAAGAAAAGGAAGCUAGAUUAUCCAAAUUCAAAUAACAAACGCACGAAGUCUGAGGAAACGAAACCCAGCGGGUUUGAACAAGAAUUAGCAAAAUUUGGUUCUGCAGAAAGUCGCGC
Non-coding RNA from Paramuricea clavata, 209 nucleotides. NCBI's taxonomy places the organism in Eukaryota, Metazoa, Cnidaria, Anthozoa, Malacalcyonacea, Plexauridae. The record is from the annotation of a GenBank genome assembly.